GAUGAACGCUGGCGGCGUGCCUAAUACAUGCAAGUCGAGCGAACAGACGAGGAGCUUGCUCCUCUGACGUUAGGGGCGGACGGGUGAGUAACACGUGGAUAACCUACCUUUAAGACGGGGAUAGCUUCGGGAAACCGGAGCUAAUACCGGAUAAUAUAUUGAACCGCAUGGUUCAAUAGUGAAAGACGGUUUUGCUGUCACUUAUAGAUGGAUCCGCGCCGCAUUAGCUAGUUGGUAAGGUAACGGCUUACCAAGGCAACGAUGCGUAGCCGACCUGAGAGGGUGAUCGGCCACACUGGAACUGAGACACGGUCCAGACUCCUACGGGAGGCAGCAGUAGGGAAUCUUCCGCAAUGGGCGAAAGCUUGACGGAGCAACGCCGCGUGAGUGAUGAAGGUCUUCGGAUCGUAAAACUCUGUUAUUAGGGAAGAACAAAUGUGUAAGUAACUAUGCACGUCUUGACGGUACCUAAUCAGAAAGCCACGGCUAACUACGUG
Molecule: ribosomal RNA, 497 nt
Filed under: uncultured bacterium
Lineage: Bacteria
Description: partial 16S ribosomal RNA
Rfam family: Bacterial small subunit ribosomal RNA
Source: RNAcentral